GUUUUAUAAUCGACGCAAAGCGCCAUAAUGUAUCACAUACAUAAUCAAAGGGUGUAGUAAUACUUCUCGCCCGAGGGCUCAAAGUCAAAGAUGCACAGGUGUAUUGGAUGAAGAUGGACGUGCACAUGCCGAAGCCAGCACAGUCCAAGCCAAUUCGAUAAUGAUCCUUCCGCAGGUUCACCUACGGAAA
RNAcentral lists this unclassified non-coding RNA (190 nucleotides) under uncultured fungus. Its description in RNAcentral is "sequence contains ITS1". The record is from RNAcentral. Lineage: Eukaryota; Fungi.